This is a long non-coding RNA of Oncorhynchus tshawytscha (Chinook salmon), 371 nucleotides long. Lineage: Eukaryota; Metazoa; Chordata; Actinopteri; Salmoniformes; Salmonidae. The record is from Ensembl.
AAUGUGGAGGCUAUAUACAGGGGGUACCGGUACCGAGUCAAUGUGGAGGCUAUAUACUUAGUCAAUGUGGAGGCUAUAUACUUAGUCAAUGUGGAGGCUAUAUACAGGGGGUACCGGUACCGUGUCAAUGUGGAGGCUAUAUGCAGGGGCUACCGGUACCGAGUCAAUGUGGAGGCUAUAUACAGGGGGUACCGGUACAGAGUCAAUGUGGAGGCUAUAUACAGGGGGUACCGGUACAGAGUCAAUGUGGAGGCUAUAUGCAGGGGCUACCGGUACCGAGUCAAUGUGGAGGCUAUAUACAGGGGGUACCGGUACAGAGUCAAUGUGGAGGCUAUAUACAGGGGGUACCGGUACAGAGUCAAUGUGGAGGC